This is a non-coding RNA of Caenorhabditis elegans, 21 nucleotides long. Lineage: Eukaryota; Metazoa; Nematoda; Chromadorea; Rhabditida; Rhabditidae. The record is from Ensembl.
GUAAAAAGUUUUUUGAUGUAU